AUUUUAGUUUAAUUUAGAAUUUUGUUUUGAUAGGACAAAGGUUUAUGAUAGUUUUU
This 56-nucleotide transfer RNA is filed under the name Gongylonema pulchrum. RNAcentral describes it as "tRNA-Ile". The record is from RNAcentral. Lineage: Eukaryota; Metazoa; Nematoda; Chromadorea; Rhabditida; Gongylonematidae.